Cottoperca gobio is the source of this 5326-nucleotide RNA transcript. It is a transcript of the gene named sorting nexin 27a, with no coding region annotated. Lineage: Eukaryota; Metazoa; Chordata; Actinopteri; Perciformes; Bovichtidae. The record is from RefSeq and is a predicted model, not a curated record. The transcript has 14 exons.
ACGUUGUGAGGCCGUGUCUCGUGACGCUACCGAGGGGCGGGUUAUCAACAACAGAGUCGGUCUGUGAAGCUAACGUUACCAAGAGACAGAGCUCGAGUGUUGUUUUGAAUUUACGAUAAGACACCGACUGGAAGGGGGGCUAGGGCCUGUGAAUAAGAUGGCGGAUGUAGGAGACGAUGAAACUCGGUCGGUUCUCCCUUCGGCAUCCCGUAACGGUCCGGUCGUCGGUUCGUCUGCGGGCAGCGCGGGCCAGAUCCCAGUUAGCAUUAUGGUAACGUCAGGUCCGCGGAUGGUGAGGAUCGUCAAGUCGGAGUCCGGCUACGGCUUCAACGUUCGCGGUCAAGUUAGCGAAGGAGGACAGCUUCGGAGCAUCAACGGGGAACUGUACGCUCCUCUUCAGCAUGUCAGUGCUGUUUUACCCGGAGGUGCGGCAGACCGAGCUGGGAUAGCAAAGGGUGACAGGAUCCUGGAGGUUAAUGGGGUGAGUGUGGAAGGUGCCACCCAUAAACAGGUGGUGGACCUGAUCCGCGCAGGAGAGAAGGAGCUGGUUCUGGCUGUGUUGUCUGUUCCAGCUCAGGAGGGUGAUGGAUUGGAAGGAGGAGAGGACAUCCAACCCAACUAUGACUACAGUGACAAGCAGGCAGUGCCCAUUUCUGUUCCCACAUACAAACAUGUUGAGCAGCACGCCGAGAGGUUUGUGGUGUACAAUGUGUACAUGUCAGGUAGACAGCUGUGCGCAAAGCGCUACCGGGAGUUUGCCAUCUUGCACCAGAACCUAAAGAGGGAGUUUUCCAACUUCAACUUCCCCAAGAUUCCUGGUAAAUGGCCCUUCUCCCUGUCUGAACAGCAGCUGGAUGCUCGCCGUAGAGGCCUGGAGGAAUAUCUCGAGCGAGUUUGCUCUGUGCGGGUGAUUGGGGAGAGUGACAUCAUGCAGGAGUUUCUCUCUGAAUCAGAUGAGAACUACAAUGGAGUGACGGAUGUAGAGCUGCGGAUAGCCCUGCCAGACAAGACCACCAUCUCUGUCCGAGUCCGUAAGAACAGCACCACAGACCAGGUGUACCAGGCAUUAGUGAUGAAGGUUGGAAUGGACAGUAUUAUGGCGAGCUACUUCGCCCUUUUUGAAGUCAUCAACCACACCUUUGUGCGGAAGCUGGCACCUAAUGAGUUUCCCCACAAGCUUUAUGUGCAGAAUUACACGUCGGCAGUGCCGGGGACUUGCUUGGCGCUCCGCAAAUGGUUAUUCAGCUUCCAGGAGGAGGAGUUGCUAAGAGACAACACGCUGGCACUGCACUACUGCUUUCACCAGGCAUUGGAAGAUGUGAAAAAGGGAUUCAUAAAAACAGAGGACAAAUCCUACCAGCUGCAGAAACUGGCAGAGCAGCGCAAGAUGGCCACGUACCUGAGUCUGUUGCGGACAUGCGAGGGCUACAAUGAGGUGGCGUUCCCCAACUGCUCCUGUGACUCCAGGAGGAAGGGACAUGUCAUCACAGCGAUCAGCAUCCAUCACUUCAAGCUGCACGCUUGUACCGAGGACGGCACGCUGGAGAACCAGGUGAUAGCUUUUGAGUGGGCAGAGAUGCAGCGCUGGGACACUGACGAGGAGGGGAUGGCUUUCUGCUUUGAAUACGCCAGAGGAGAGAAGAAACCUCGCUGGGUCAAGAUCUUCACACCAUACUUUAACUACAUGCACGAGUGCUUUGAGAGGGUCUUUUGUGAGCUGAAGUGGAGGAAACAGGUUGAGGAAGAGGCAUCUGACAAAGACAACAAAAAUUGCAGUAACAAUGAGUAUCUGCCUCCUCUGGAAACACAGCAGAAGGGAUGGUGCCACCUUGGGGGGGAGAUUGCAACUUCCUAAAAUCAUUUGUCAUCACUCGAACUAGAACUGGUCCACUUGCAUCAUCACAGCCACCCCAGAGAGCGCCCAUCGACAAACACAGAACUGAGUGACAGACUGAGGCGAUCCAUGCCCCGAAAAACAAUCUGGAAGUGACCGAUUUUUUUUUGGGCAAAUGGAAAAGCCACACUUAACCGACCCCAGGGAUACACACAGCAAGAAGAGCAAUGAAGGAAAAUAAACAAAAGCCAACUUUCAUGUAAUUUACUAGAUCUCCAUAGCGUGUGUUGUUUUCCUCCAUGCAUCCGCCCUGUGAUGUGUGGCAGGUCACUAGCAAAUUCUCGCCACUGGUUGAGAUGUAACGCAUGCAUACUGGUCUGGGUCACUGCAGCGCUGCGGCACCAUUUGCGCAAAGGGAGCACCUCAAUGAAUCACCACUUGACGAGGGAGCCUACAUGGGAUAGGAUUGUCCAACACGAUCGACUCGGCCCAGAGCCUUCAGCGUGGCCCUCGUCUUCUGAACGGAGCCGGCAGGAUGGAGAUGAAAAUAAGAAUAGAUACAGAAAAAUGGGGCUUUCACUUCUUUAACAGUUAGUGAUAAAGAAAGAAAGCAAAAUCAUGCUUUACACCGACGAUGGACAUUAACACUAAAUGAUGUUUUCUAUCUGUAAGGUCAGAAGUAUUCUGUCUUUGUCACCAAACAUAGGCGACAGAAAUGUAACUAACUGAAAAAAGGAUGUUGGGGGGGGGGAUGGUUCAUAAUUAUGUAUAUGUUUAACAAUCCUAGUUCUGAUAAAAUAUAGAUUAAUAUAAGAGCUAUUAUAAUUGUUUUCUUGUUCUAACGUGAGGAAACACUAACUGAAUUGCAUAGAAACUGCUCUAACUCAUUUUAAUUUUCACCUUUUGUUCUGGCCUAACUCACGCUACAUCUGUUGGCAUUCUGCCAUUAAGGUCAGUAUGUGUAUUUAUCACCCUCGCAAGUGUUUUAUUGUGGUGAGGAGGACGAGGCGUUCCCAUUCUCAGCUCAGUGCUGGGAUCUCUUGAAGAAAAAAAAAAAAAUGUUGAUGGUCCAAACAUGUUUUUGAAAUGGCACUCGAUCUGACCGACAGAUUGAAUUUAAAGACGGGACAGGACAGUUUUGUCUGUCGAGCUGCAGUUUUGUGAACAGGCAGCAGAGAGCAGCAGAGUGUAAGACACAUUUCGUUUUAGGCUUUGAGCAGAACUAAAAAUCUUCUCGGAGCUCCUUAAAGAGUGAUCCCUCGGGCUCUGUAACUCACCCAAAAGUAUCACUCCUCUGCAGUUUAUCCAUUAACCACGUCGGGAGGCCAGAUGGUGUGUGUGUGUGUGUGUGUGUGUGUGUCGUACAGAGAGUAGGUAGAUGCAUAAAGUUGUGUGACUGCAACCACAAACAUUAGCAUACAUAGCAAUGCAUAGCAGAUGUCUGCCUUGUACUGCACCUACAUUGGUACAGUAUUAGUUGUGUGUAUAUGCACAUGACAUAAGAUUAUAUGACAGUUUUACAAUUUACACAGAGUCUUUUGUGUUCUAGAGCAUUUCCAGUUUUUUUUCCCCCACAACAUGACAUGUUUUUAUUUUCUUCUCUUUGUAGAUGUUCAGUUAAAAUAAACCUUUUUUUGUUUCACUUGAAGUGUGUAGAUAGCAGGUUUACAUGCUGACAAAAGACAAUGUGAGUAAAUGUAUUAAUUUCACCUGAAUGCAAUAGAUUUUUGUUUAUUGUCCUAAUGGUUAGAGGUUUAUCCUGGCUGAUUCAUUACUGACUCAUUCAUGAGAUUCACUCGCGAGUGAUGUUGGUUUAUUUUCUAUUCACAGCGACGUUUAGAGCACAAAUUCAAGUUCCACUUGGGAUAAAACAAUUUUUUUUUUACAGUUGAGCUUAGCUUUCGGUUCAAUAAAAAUGUUUAAUUCAUGCCGAGGUUUAGUCAUAAUUUCAGUCAAAUACCUUGGAGUGUGUGUGUGUGUGUGUGUGUGUGUGUGUGUGUGUGUGUGUGUGUUGGCUUUUCUAUCCUCUGCUCGUACUAGUGUCCAGGUUGGUCUCCCGUCAUCACGGGAUGUGGUUGCCGUGGCAGCACCACGUUGGCUCAACACGCUCAGUGCAGCCUCUGUUCCUUUUAUUCCUGUCAGCCAACUGACUCACUCCCAAUAAUGUAUUCAAAGCAGUGUUUUUUGUGUUUGAUGUUUGUUCUCUGUCCCCGUGGCUCAUGCUGCUGUGAAUAGGCUUUUAGAAAGCUGCCGGUUUAUAUAUUUUUUGUGUCUCGGUUUGUAUGUCUGCGCCAGGUGCCAUCUUCCGCUCAGUCACAGGCAGGUGUGCGUACUGUUGUCGUCGGUUUCUGCCAUCAGUGAGAUAAAUGUCAUUGUAACAGUGUUUAGGUGAAAGCAGAGAGAUGACAGGAAUGUUAAGAAGCACGUCUUUGUAUGGUCGGCCCGUGUUUGUUCGUCAGUGUGCGCUGUGCUGUGGGCCACCUGUGUUUGUGUUUGAGAUGCUGGACAGCCUUGGCUUGUAAGUGAAUUAUUCUUUACAGAAAGAGGAUUGAAUUCCACACAGGAGAUAAGAGAUGAAAGAAUGUUGAGUGGUACAGCAAACAUGGUGACAGUAGAAUUUAAAAAUGUCCAUGUGUGGACUGAACAAGAGGCUCAGAAAGUUUGUGUUCAUCACAAGCGGCACUGAAAUGCUCGUCUGAAUGAUGAUGUUGCUGUAGUAACGCUGAUUUCCUUCACAUCAUUCAGUGGCAGAUAUAGUGUAAGAUCUUUUGUUAGUUCGAAUUCUACGGCAUUUCAGGCUCAGUCCAGUGGUCGAACUGGCAUUUACGAGGCCGCUCAGUCAGUCUCUUUCCUUUGACACUGUUGGUUCAGUCGCUACGUUUGUCUCAUCAUGACUGCUUUUGUGUAGAUUUGAUCUUCGUCGACCUCUGAAACACACAUCCGGCUCGAAGGGCAUUAGCAGCGAGCGUUUCCAUUUCGGCUGCUGGGUCCUACCUAUGGCUAACAUGAGGAGUGGGUGUAAGUGCAGUUUUAAAAAGUGUUAGCCUUUGUGUAAUUAAUUUAUGUCCAUUGCUUUGAAACACUGGGCUUUUUCAUGGCAAGUAGGCAGUGACAUUAAUUAAAAACCUAAACCUUGUUUGUCUGUCUUCAGCAUAACCUGUAAAUAGUUGUUUUAAAAAGAAAAAGAGAAUAUCUCUUGGACAAAAUGCACUCUUGUUUCUCCAACGCAAAACUUUUAUUUAUUUAAACAGAAAUUCUAGAAAUUGGGGAAAUGAUAGUGUACGACGCUGGAGCCACCGUUGAUCAUUAACUUUGUGCGUGGGGAACGGCUGAAUGGCUAACGACACAUGAAAGCUGUUUAGAGGGGAAGUAGCAUCUAAAAACAUCAACACCUGAUGCAGAACUAGGCUACAAAAUGAGUUUUAUAUAUAAAAAAAAAAUACACAUGAAGGUUUACUAACCAAUAUAAGAAAAAGGAAAAAAGGUUUGAAA